Poeciliopsis prolifica (blackstripe livebearer) is the source of this 1510-nucleotide long non-coding RNA. RefSeq lists it as uncharacterized. The record is from RefSeq and is a predicted model, not a curated record. Lineage: Eukaryota; Metazoa; Chordata; Actinopteri; Cyprinodontiformes; Poeciliidae. The transcript is spliced from 6 exons.
GCGCUGCGUCUUUGACGCUGUGUGGACGCUUUUAUUUAUAUAUAUAUUUUUUUUUUGUUAUUGUCGCGCGCGCGCGGAGCGGCCGCACUUUUAAAGAAACUUCAGCAGAAUACUCAGCCUUUUUAUAUUUCUCUUUUAAUCUUAGUCCAUAUAUAUCUGUAUGUAUUUUUAUAGCACGGUCUCAUUUGGUGAUGAUGGAGAUGAACUCUAAAAUAAAACCCAAGGCCCGAGCGCAAAGAUUUGUUUUCCCACCCAAAGGAUUUCCACAAGUCGUCUCCACAUGGUCUCUAAUGUCGCGCUGUGAGGUGAAGGACUUUGAGGGGUUGAGUGGGUGUGUGGGGUGGGGCUGAUGGUGAUGGUGAGGGGGGGAAGCCGCGCCGCUUUUACGCACGACUGAAGUGGAGCUGCUGGUGGCGCGCGCCUCCCACGGUGGGCCCCGGACAGGCAAGACCUCGGUUGAACACAAGUCUGGGUCCAGAGGAACCAGAGGAACCGACAGGGUGAGCCUGCAUCCUGGUCUAUCACUCCAUCUCUCCUCAGCUCCUCAACUGAGAAAGCUGAAUGAGGAACCGAAUGGUUCCUCUGCGGCAAACCAUUUGGUUCACCGCAGAGGAACUCUAACGCCAAGCAGCUCAAGACGCUCCAUGUUAGUGAAAACUCGCCGUUCUGCUUCCAUGUUUCCUUCAAAAGCAGGAUUAAGCAAAAUAAGAGGCCUCGGAUCUCUGACCUCCCCUGUUGUCGUGGCGAAUCCACACAAACUGAACCCGGACUCACUGAGACGGAGCUCCGACCCUUACAGUCGAUGUCUGUCAGGGUUUUCUCUUCACGUUUGUCCCAAAGACCGGCAGAUGGAGGCAUUCAUUUCCUUUUAGUUUGACAAGAAAGACAACCGGACUCAGCAGUCGUCCUCUCCGGGUGCCCAUGACACAGUCAAGAAAUUUGUGGACCUUCUGCUGUGUCUCCAAAGAAAAUAAAACCUACACCGCCUGCUGACGACCGCUGCAACUGAGAACGAGCUAAUCUCUGUGAAGGAGGAAGGAAGCGGAAAGCCGGAGGACGGUCCUGAGGUCGAGUGGAAAAAGCUGCAGGAGGCGGCAGGUCAUCCUGAGAGCAGCAAAUCAACGCUAACACCUCAGCAGGAAGCAGCAGGGUCCCAUAGAGGACGGCGAGGAGAUAUCUAGGACAGGAACUGGACGGGUGUGUAGACUUUCAUCGAUGUGACUGAAAAUUUUAAUUAUUUUGGCUGCUCCGUCUGUAGGCUCCUUUAUGGUGAAGCAGAGAGACAGUGUGUUGGCUUUUGAGUCUAAGGAUCUGUGCGAGCAUUUAUUGUAUCGUUUAUCAUUUAUCGUGAUAGAUUUCUGAAGAGAAUUUCGAUUUAUUGUCAGAAUAAAUUCCAAUGAAUAAUGUUUAAAACCCCCAAAAGACAUUAUCUGCGCUGUUGCUUUUACGAUUAUUUGUAUUAUGAGAGUAGCAAGACAUACCAAUAAAUUUCAACAUGUGAUUAAACAUG